GGUGACUUGGCCUCCACUUCCCGCAGAAGGAGUCGGUACAGGGGACGCUUCCUCUCGCUGGAAAGGGCUUGGUGGUACCUGGAGGCCCCGGUGCAGGCCAGACUUGCUCAAGAGGAUGUCUACCUUCUGCCCCAGCCCGCAUACUAUGCCUUUGCAUUCCUUCUAUCUUUAAGAUUUAAAAAAAAAAAUGUGUGACGAGUGUUUUGCUUGCAUACUGUGUGCGAGCCCCGGGCCCCCGCAGUGGCCAGAAGAGAUCGUCGGAUAUUCUGAAACUGGUGUUACAAACGUCUGUGAGCCACUUGUGGGUUCUGGGAACCGAACCCUGGGAGUCUACAAGGGCAGCAAGCGCUCUUCACUGUUGGACUCUCUCUCCAGCUCCCUUUAUUCCUUCUCUCACAGCCUCGUUCCUGCCUUCCAUCUCAACCAUCGAUUCCUCCUCCCGCACCAAGCCUUCCUUCCCUGGCUGCCUGGCCCUGCCCUAGUCGUGACUGGCUUUCAGGUAACAGAAAGUUACCAGAGAGGCCUGAAACAGCCUAGACGGCUGCUGUGGGGUCUGACUCAGGCUUGUCUGAAGGUACAGAGAAUCAGACAAUACAAGAACAUUCAGUGACCCCUCUCACCACCACCCUCUGUUGGUCUAGUAACUAACUACUUCACCUAUCUCCAGGAGUUCACAUCUGCCUUGGCUGGGCAUGAUGGCACAUUCCUGUCACCUGAGCAUUUGGGAGCCUGAGGCAGAGAAUCACGAGGCCAGCGUAAGCUAGACAGCCAGGCUGUUUCAGUAACAAAACCCCACCCAAGAACCUCCCUGGCAGUGCUGGAGAUUGAACCUGGGACCUCAUGCAUGCCAGGCAAAUGCUCUACCACUGAGCUACUGCCCUAGACCACUGACAACCCUUUUUAUUUGUAGCCAAACGGUGUCCCGUCGUGUGGAUGGCCACUGUUUUUUACCCAGGCCCUUCUUCAUGGAUAUUUGGGUGGCUUCCAAUCAUAGCUGUAAUAAAUAAUCAUGGAAUCCAAAGAAGCUGGCACAUGUCAUUUUGCAUCCACCUGGCUUAGUGAUAAGUGUUGAA
This is a non-coding RNA of Peromyscus maniculatus bairdii (prairie deer mouse), 1073 nucleotides long. NCBI's taxonomy places the organism in Eukaryota, Metazoa, Chordata, Mammalia, Rodentia, Cricetidae. The record is from RefSeq and is a predicted model, not a curated record.